Vicia villosa (hairy vetch) is the source of this 330-nucleotide long non-coding RNA. RefSeq lists it as uncharacterized. The record is from RefSeq and is a predicted model, not a curated record. Lineage: Eukaryota; Viridiplantae; Streptophyta; Magnoliopsida; Fabales; Fabaceae. The transcript has 3 exons.
GAAGUACCAAAUGCUAAAUAACCAAACUUCCUUUACGAGUUAGGUCUUUCCCAAAUUUGUAUGAAUUAGGGUUUUGUGAAAAACAACUGCGUCUUCGAAAUUCUGCAACACACGAAGGAAAAAUGUCUAAGAAGAACGAUCUCGCAAAGAGAAAGAGGCAGCACGAAUUCGAACUCCGAAGAGAAAAACUCGAGAAGGAGAAGAAAGAUAAGAAACUUCAGGCGAAGAAAAACAAGAUGAAAGUUGAUGGUAGUGACAGGAAAAAGAAGGGUGGAAGUGGGUUUCAGGUGGGAAAAAAGAAAGUGAAGACCAAGGUAUCUGCUUUGUCUA